Molecule: small nucleolar RNA, 106 nt
Filed under: Gossypium barbadense (sea-island cotton)
Lineage: Eukaryota; Viridiplantae; Streptophyta; Magnoliopsida; Malvales; Malvaceae
Also listed under: 1 other name
Description: Plant small nucleolar RNA R71
Rfam family: Plant small nucleolar RNA R71
About the family: R71 is a member of the C/D box family of snoRNAs containing the C (UGAUGA) and D (CUGA) box motifs. Multiple nearly identical copies of this snoRNA have been identified in Arabidopsis, and it is thought to function as a 2'-O-ribose methylation guide for 18S ribosomal RNA.
Source: Rfam by way of RNAcentral
AACCCAUGGUGAGGGCAUCUUUUCAAAAGGUCCUUGUAUCUCUCCUAUGCAUCGUGAGUGUUUCUAAACCCAUCUUCACAAAAGAGGAGAUAUCAUUACAUAAUUU